GUUUUCUCACCUGUGAGAACCUUUCCUUUUUUUUGCUUGUGGAUUCAGGCACCCCCUUGUGGACUCAAGGAUUAGAGACUCCGAAUCUAUAGAUUCAGAGGUUGGUUUCUUCUCCAAGAUUAAAGCUUUGUGGAUUCAAGCCGAAAUCUUAUUUAUCUUUCGCGUCACUGCUGCGUCACUGGCAUCGACAGCAACUCGGGAUGACGUGGACGGUAGACUCGACAGUAGCUCCCAAGAGAGGAGGAAGAGGAGGAGAAGCGAAAACAGGGUGGAAAGAAAUAGGCACAGGCGGAGGAGAACAGGAGAAGAAGCUCUAGACCAGGAGCCGGGGCAGGAGAGCCUCAAUCAUUUUAGUUUUCAGGUCAAGAUCCUCCUCUGGGAGGGUCGACAACAGACUGAUAACACCGGGAAGAUCCGUCCCCCUCCCGUUGGUCAAUAUUCGAGUUGGUAUCUGAACUGACCUCAGAUUGCCUUUUCGAUUGCACGGGGCAAGAAGGAUGCCUAGCUCGGAGCUGUUAAACUCUUCACGUCGGAGAACAGAACCGUCCAAAGACUCGUCGUCCGGCGAGAGGUCGCCGAGAAGAAGCCCCACGACGGUGCUCAUGGCGGGUCUCUCAUCCUUGUUUCUCCUCACGCAGAGCAGGGCGACCCAGAGCACUAGCUGCGCCUGCACCUCGUCGAAGUCCCCCUUUAGCCCUUCGUCGACCAGA
Molecule: long non-coding RNA, 710 nt
Filed under: Spirodela polyrhiza (greater duckweed)
Lineage: Eukaryota; Viridiplantae; Streptophyta; Magnoliopsida; Alismatales; Araceae
Description: long non-coding RNA (SPOL_LNC001389)
Source: RNAcentral